This 248-nucleotide long non-coding RNA is filed under the name Lathyrus oleraceus (garden pea). Its description in RNAcentral is "Pisum sativum (pea) long non-coding RNA (PSAT_LNC024055)". Lineage: Eukaryota; Viridiplantae; Streptophyta; Magnoliopsida; Fabales; Fabaceae. The record is from RNAcentral.
AAGAAGCCUAUUCCUACUCUUUUUUGUUGAUACUUACUACUAUAUCCAUGCGAGGACUCAGAAGAAGAAGGGAAUCAUUGUAUGUUGUGCUCCCUUGUUGUAUAUAUGGUUUAUUUUUCAUCUACCCAGUAAAAGUCCUUUCAUUGAGAAUAAAGACAAUCUGAAGUGAUCUCAAAGGAUCAUGUCCUUGAAUGCUGAAGAUAUUUCCUGAUACUCUAGGAGUUAUGACAAUGUCAAACUCAUCCUCA